This 28-nucleotide small RNA is filed under the name Bombyx mori (domestic silkworm). RNAcentral's name for it is "piRNA piR-bmo-2172161". The record is from RNAcentral. Lineage: Eukaryota; Metazoa; Arthropoda; Insecta; Lepidoptera; Bombycidae.
GAUAUUUGCUCGGUAGACCGACGGUCCG